This 2594-nucleotide long non-coding RNA is filed under the name Capsicum annuum. RNAcentral's name for it is "long non-coding RNA (CANN_LNC011661)". Lineage: Eukaryota; Viridiplantae; Streptophyta; Magnoliopsida; Solanales; Solanaceae. The record is from RNAcentral.
UUGAGUUGUCAGUUGUCUCUAAUAAUGACAGAGUUCUUUAGAGUAUUACUCUCAGUUGAUUCAGUGACUAGAAACAAUGACACUAAGUGCAGCAAAAUAAUUGGAAAUAUGUAGGAUGUGAACAAACCAAAUAUAUAUACACAGAUAGGCAUGCGCAGUUGAGCACAGAUGAAUGCAUUAUAGAUGCAUAUUUUGAAGAGAGACAUGAGGGGUGGGGGUGGGGGGGGGGGAGAGGGGCUAGUGAACAGUAUCUUAAACUAGCGAAUUUAAAAUUUAUAAAUUUUUAUGUCAAUCUUAAAUUAAUAUUUCAACAAGAAUUAAGUUAUUAUCAAAUAUUUAGAGAGAGAGAAAAAAUAUGUGCAAAGAUUACUAGGCUCAAGUGAAUUCAUUCCAACUUCAGAGAAAAAGAAAUAUGUGCAAAGAUUACUAGGCUCAAGUGAAUUCAUUCCAACUUCUAAAUCUGUCCCCAAAUAUAAUACUCCUCCGAUCCGUUUGAUUUUGAUUUGACACCUGAAAUGUGAAAUUAUGACUGAACAUGGUUAGGUUUAGUCACUUGAAAUGUGAAUUAGAGAGUUGAAAAAAGUUAAGUGUAGUGUUUUGAAAUGUGUACUAGUGACUUCAAAAUGAUCAAGUAUAGUCACUUGAGAAAUAGAUUAGUGAUUUGAAAAUGGUUUAGUGUAGUUACUUGAAAGGUGAACUUGUGUUUUGAAAUUAGUAAAGUGCAAUCACUUGAAAAAUGUGAAUUCAUGACUUGAAAAUGAUUUAGGGUUGACACUUGAAAUGUGAAUUCAUGACCUGAACAUGGUUAGGUUUAGUCACUUGAAAUGCGAAUUAGAGAGUUGAAAAUGGUUAAGUAUAGUAUUUUGAAAAUGGUUUAGUAUAGUGACUUGAAAUGUCAAUUAGCUAUCUGAAAAUGGUUUGAUUCUAGUGACUUGAAAUGUGAAUAAGUUAUUUCAAAAUUAUUAAGUGUAGUGACUUGAAAAUGGUUUAGUGUAGUUACUUGAAAUUGCAAACCUGUGACUUAAAAAUGGUUAAGUAUAGUUACUUGAAAUUGUGAACUAGUGAUUUGAAAAUGGUUAAGUGUAGUUACUAGAAAUGUGAAUUAGUUAUUUGAAAAUGAUUAAGUGUAGUGACUUGAAAUGUUAAUUACUUAUUUGAAAAUGGUUAAGUGUAGUGACUUGAAAUGUCUACUAGUUAUUUGAAAAUGAUUAAGUCACAAAAUGGUUAAGUGUAGUGACUUGAAAUGUCUACUAGUUAUUUGAAAAUGAUUAAGUGUAGUGACUUGAAAUAUGUACUAGUGACUUGAAAAUGGUUAAGUGUAGUUACUUCAAAAUGGUUAAGUAUAGUGACUUGAAAUGUCAAUUAGCUAUUUGAAAAUGGUUUGAGUGUGGUGACUUGAAAUGUGAAUAAGUUAUUUGAAAGUGGUUAAGUGUAGUGACUUGAAAUGAAUGAUUUAGUGUAGUAACUUGAAAAUGAUUAAGAAUAAUUUUUUGAAAUGUGAAGUAGUUACUUGAAAAUGGUUUAAGUAUAGUAACAUGAAAUUUGAAUUAGUUAUUUGAAAAUGGUUAAGUGUAGUGACUUGAAAUGUGAAUUAGUUAUUUGAAAAUGGUUAAGUAUAGUGACUUGAAAUGUCAAUUAGCUAUUUGAAAGUAGUUUGAGUGUAGUGACUUGAAAUGUGAAUAAGUUAUUUGAAAGUGGUUAAAUGUAGUGACUUGAAAUGAAUGAUUUAGUGUAGUGACUUGAAAAUGAUUAAGUAUAGUUUUUUGAAAUGUGAAGUAAUUACUUGAAAAUGGUUUAAGUAUAGUAACUUGAAUGUGAAUUAAUUAUUUGAAAAUGGUAAAGUGUAGUGACUUGAAAUGUGAAUUAGUUAUUUGAAAAUGGUUAAGUGUAGGGACUUGAAAUGUCUUCUAGUUAUUUGAAAAUGAUUAAAUGUAGUGACUUGAAAUGUCUUCUAGUUAUUUGAAAAUGAUUAAUUGUAGUGACUUGAAAUGUGUACUAGUGACUUGAAAAUGGUCAAGUGUAGUUACUUCAAAAUGGUUAAGUAUAGGAACUUGAAAUGUGGACUUGUGUUUUGAAUUUAGUUAAGUGUGGUCACUUGAGAAGUGAGUUGGUGACUUGAAAAUGCAUAAGUGUAGGUACUUGAAAUGUGGACUUGUGAAUAAGUACUUGAAAAUAUUUAAGUGUAGGUACUUGAAAUGUGGACUUGGUGUUUUCAAUUUAGUUAAGUGUGGUUACUUGAGAAGUGCAUUAGUGAGUUUAAAAUGUUUAAGUGUAGUUACUUGAAAGGUGGACUUGUGUUUUGAAUAUAGUUAAGUGUGGUCAUUUGAGAAGUGAGUUAGUGACUUGAAAAUGUUUAGGUGUAGGUACUUGAAAUGUGAACUUUUCAUUUUGAAUUAAGUUUAGUUUGGUAACUUCUGAAGUGAAUUAGUGACUUGAAAAUGUUUAGGUGUAGGUACUAGAAAUGUGAACUUUUCAUUUUGAAUUUAGUUUAGUUACGUAACUUGUGAAGUGACUUAGUGACUUGAAAUGUGAACUUUUUAUUUUGAAUUUAGUUUAGUUUGGUAUUGUGAAGUGAAUGGGUGACUUGAAAUGUG